GGCUAAACAGGUACUGAAUUACUUCUGAUUGCACAGCCAAACCUCUUCAGCAGGAGAAAGAUAUUUUGUUUACUUACCUAGAUCUACACUAACAGUUGGGUGCAAUUUAUUUAUCAAGGUAUAAAAUUUGACAGAGAGUGCUCAAUGCCGCCUCCAAGGUGGCAGGAUAAGCACCCUGAAUAAAGAGCUCCAUAGGUAAGGGAGAGCCACUGAUUUACUAGGAAGAGAAAACAAUUCAAGGAGACAAUUCAGAGGAAACUUCUCCUGCCUGUGUGGAGCCACAGAUGUGCACUGGAAGGCUCUGAGUCAAGCUCUGUUGAAACAAGCUCUUUCUCAAGUCCUGUAGAUGGUGCCUUCUCUGGGGUUGGAACCAAGAGAGUUGGUGGUACCUGGUCAUGGUGCUGCAAGACAUACACGAAGUCCUUUCCCCUUUGGAGAUGACAUGGAUGGGAAAUGGCUCAUUGUAGCAACAGGAGACAACAACAAUUGCAUCACAGUAAAGCAAACAUCAAAGCACAGUCCACGCCAAAGAGCUGGGGGAAAAAUUCAUAUGUGACACUCUGACGUGUUGAAGUCCAGCUUGGGAGGGUUUUGGCAACACAGAAAUGAAGAGCAAGCAGUUGCCAUUUCCCAGACCUUGUUUGUCUUGGUGUUUGUGUGAAGCAGCCUGGGCUGAGGACACGAUGGACCUGCAGCCUUUCACAUCCCUGUGCCUGUGACAGCCCUCCAGGGCCACUGCACAGCCAGGCUGCACUGGAUGGAAUUGUUUAAAAAAGCAGCUCUGAAAGACUGAACCAAACUGGAACCUGCCUUUCACUAAGCACUAAUAACCUGUCUGACAGCCCACGUAUAAAAAUUACAGUGCUUAUUGUUGAUGUUUAUUUUCACUUUAAUAAGGAGUUGCUGUAGGUAGCCAGCCUGAUUAAGUAUUUUAACAACUCCCUUCUGAAGGUAAUUAAGUUCUGCAGUGAAAUGUAAGGAAUUUGGCAUCAAAAAACCAUUAAGGCAGAUAUUUUAAAUGAAUAAACAAACAUAACUCUUUCCA
This 1045-nucleotide long non-coding RNA is filed under the name Junco hyemalis (dark-eyed junco). RNAcentral describes it as "lncRNA (ENSJHYG00000015006.1)". Lineage: Eukaryota; Metazoa; Chordata; Aves; Passeriformes; Passerellidae. The record is from RNAcentral.